GGGCAGUUGGCGGAAUUGGUAUACGCGCUGGUCUUAGGAACCAGUGGGGUAACCCUUAAGAGUUCGAGUCUCUUACUGCCUACCA
Molecule: transfer RNA, 85 nt
Filed under: Candidatus Pelagibacter sp.
Lineage: Bacteria; Pseudomonadati; Pseudomonadota; Alphaproteobacteria; Candidatus Pelagibacterales; Candidatus Pelagibacteraceae
Also listed under: 1 other name
Description: tRNA-Leu
Rfam family: tRNA
About the family: Transfer RNA (tRNA) molecules are approximately 80 nucleotides in length. Their secondary structure includes four short double-helical elements and three loops (D, anti-codon, and T loops). Further hydrogen bonds mediate the characteristic L-shaped molecular structure. tRNAs have two regions of fundamental functional importance: the anti-codon, which is responsible for specific mRNA codon recognition, and the 3' end, to which the tRNAs corresponding amino acid is attached (by aminoacyl-tRNA synthetases). tRNAs cope with the degeneracy of the genetic code in two manners: having more than one tRNA (with a specific anti-codon) for a particular amino acid; and 'wobble' base-pairing, i.e. permitting non-standard base-pairing at the 3rd anti-codon position.
Source: RNAcentral